UUCUGGAGGCAGCGGUUGAUCGAUCAGUUCCAUGUAAAGCUAUAAACUAAAUAUAGCAAACUGGAAUCGAUCGAUAAACCUCUGCAUCCAGC
Non-coding RNA from Capsicum annuum, 92 nucleotides. Lineage: Eukaryota; Viridiplantae; Streptophyta; Magnoliopsida; Solanales; Solanaceae. The record is from Rfam.